This 253-nucleotide ribosomal RNA is filed under the name uncultured bacterium. RNAcentral's name for it is "partial 16S ribosomal RNA". It matches the Rfam family "Bacterial small subunit ribosomal RNA", at positions 524 to 776 of the family's 1533-position model. The record is from RNAcentral.
UACAGAGGUCUCAAGCGUUGUUCGGAUUCAUUGGGCGUAAAGGGUGCGUAGGCGGCGCGGUAAGUCGGGUGUGAAAUCUCGGGGCUUAACUCCGAAACUGCAUUCGAUACUGCCGUGCUUGAGGACUGGAGAGGAGACUGGAAUUUACGGUGUAGCAGUGAAAUGUGUAGAUAUUCGGAAGAACACCAGUGGCGAAGGCAGCGAACUGGCCCUAUAUUGACGCUCAGGCACGAAAGCAUGGGGAUCAAACAGG